UUACUUACUUGAACAAGAUGCCUGUGUGCUUUGUACCAGGUUGUUAUCAUUCCAGUAAUAAUACCUCUUGCUCAUUCUUUCGCUUCCCGUCUGAUAAAAGGGCCAGGAGUCGCUGGAUCAAACACAUCAGGUAAAAUACAUAUUGUGCAUGGAACAUAGUCAAGUUAGCUACCUAGCUAGUAGCAAGCACGUUAGUUAGCCUUGCCAUUUUUUAUUAGCCUUAACAUGAAGUAACAUAAGUAAACCAAAAUGUUAAACAGUAAGAGUAGUCAUGAUGGUAAGUAUUUUGUGAAACCUUUGAAGAGUACUGUCACACCGGUUUAAGCCCGUACACCCUCCACUGGGGUCCCAGGGGCCGAUGCUAAUGUAGGCUAACGCUACAUUAGCGAUCUUUUUUCUACUUCAUGCUAUCUGCACAAAUGGUUAACAUUGAACAUUCAAAAUAUCAGGCAGUUCAGGGAGAGUCGAAGGCAGGCAGCUUUGCAUGACAUUCUUCAUUGUGAUGAUAGUGAGGGUGAGUCAGUCUGUUUUUUGGCAAGACAGUAGUUGAGUGAUUACUGAGAGAAAAUUAUUCUAAGUGUUUCAAGUGUUGUUACUUUAAAGUGUUGUUACUGACCUUUUUCUCUUUUAUUUUCUUUGCCUCACCUGUAACUCUGCUGAGACCUUGAGGAACAUGCACACUGGACUGACCUGCUCUGGCAACCUGAUUUCCACUCUCCAUCCAUCACCAUUCUCUGUUCCUGCAGGUCCUGCUUCCUAAUCAAUGCUCAUAUUUUUUACACAAUUACAAAUAAACUCAAUUCAUUGUAUGACAUGAAGUUGUGCUUCA
Trematomus bernacchii (emerald rockcod) is the source of this 829-nucleotide long non-coding RNA. RefSeq lists it as uncharacterized. The record is from RefSeq and is a predicted model, not a curated record. NCBI's taxonomy places the organism in Eukaryota, Metazoa, Chordata, Actinopteri, Perciformes, Nototheniidae. The transcript is spliced from 2 exons.